RNAcentral lists this small nucleolar RNA (139 nucleotides) under Ornithorhynchus anatinus (platypus). The record is from RNAcentral. Lineage: Eukaryota; Metazoa; Chordata; Mammalia; Monotremata; Ornithorhynchidae.
CCCCUCUCGGGGGUCGCACCUGGAGAGUUUCCAGUACCCUACCAGUCUUGACUACGGGAGGGAGAGUCAAGCAGAGGCCUAUCCAUUCCAUUCCGAGCUUGGGCAGUGGCUAGAGUGUGGAAGGCAAUCUGCUACAAGC